GAUGAAGAACGUAGCGAAAUGCGAUACUUGGUGUGAAUUGCAGAAUCCCGUGAACCAUCGAGUCUUUGAACGCAAGUUGCGCCCGAAGCCAUUAGGCCGAGGGCACGCCUGCCUGGGCGUCACACGUCGUUGCCCCCCCAUCUACUCCUUCGGGAUUGCGGGGGGCGGAUGAUGGCCUCCCGUGCGCCUCGUCGCGCGGUUGGCAUAAAUGCCAAGUCCUCGGCGACGCACGCCACGACAAUCGGUGGUUGCGAAACCUCGGUUGCCCGUCGUGUGCGGUCGUCGCGCAUCGAGGGCUCGAAAAAAUUGACGGGCUCCGGCUCGGCUUUCAACGCGACCCCAGGUCAGGCGGGGUUACCCGCUGAAUUUAAGCAUAUCAAUAAGCGGAGGA
RNAcentral lists this unclassified non-coding RNA (391 nucleotides) under soil metagenome. RNAcentral describes it as "partial contains 5.8S ribosomal RNA, internal transcribed spacer 2, and large subunit ribosomal RNA". The stretch from base 1 to 122 matches the Rfam family "5.8S ribosomal RNA", at positions 35 to 154 of the family's 154-position model. The record is from RNAcentral.